Molecule: non-coding RNA, 372 nt
Organism: Pelobates cultripes (western spadefoot toad)
Lineage: Eukaryota; Metazoa; Chordata; Amphibia; Anura; Pelobatidae
Source: the annotation of a GenBank genome assembly
CUCUGACGAAGUGAUCGAGAAUCACGAAACAUGUAAGGCGGCAUCUGCAAACCAAACACACACUGAUCCCGAGAGUGAGCAUCCUUGACACGCAUCCUGAGCCGCAGUGGAACGCAUGCGGCUAGAAACCAGCGGUACACAGCACGAGGAAAAUCCCAUUUACUUCUGUCCGGCCGGCGAGAAAGUAAUCUCAAUAUCCUUUUGGGCUCGAGGUCUGUUAACCUGGUAUUGGGGCUGUCUGAUUUGCUACUCUUUUUUGGGACUUUUAUUGAUAGCUACAUAUAUUUGUAGCAUUUUUUUGUCAUUUAUUAAUAAAUUUGGAAAAGUAUCUGUCUGCUGCAUCACAUUUUUAACCCUUGGAGGGGUUCUAUC